GAUGAACGCUGGCGGCGUGCCUAAUACAUGCGAGUCGAGCGAACGGACGAGAAGCUUGCUUCUCUGAUGUUAGCGGCGGACGGGUGAGUAACACGUGGAUAACCUACCUAUAAGACUGGGAGAACUUCGGGAAACCGGAGCUAAUACCGGAUGAUAUUUUGAACCGCAUGGUUCAAAAGUGAAAGACGGUCUUGCUGUCACUUAUAGAUGGAUCCGCGCUGCAUUAGCUAGUUGGUAAGGUAACGGCUUACCAAGGCAACGAUGGUUAGCCGACCUGAGAGGGUGGUCGGCCACACUGGCACUGAGACACGGCCCAGACUCCUACGGGAGGCAGCAGUAGGGAAUCUUCCACAAUGGGCGAAAGCCUGACGGAGCAACGCCGCGUGAGUGAUGAAGGUCUUCGGAUCGUAAAACUCUGUUAUUAGGGAAGAACAUAUGUGUAAGUAACUGUGCACAUCUUGACGGUACCUAAUCAGAAAGCCCCGGCUAACUACGUG
This 497-nucleotide ribosomal RNA is filed under the name uncultured bacterium. RNAcentral describes it as "partial 16S ribosomal RNA". It matches the Rfam family "Bacterial small subunit ribosomal RNA", at positions 28 to 507 of the family's 1533-position model. The record is from RNAcentral.